This 467-nucleotide ribosomal RNA is filed under the name uncultured bacterium. Its description in RNAcentral is "partial 16S ribosomal RNA". It matches the Rfam family "Bacterial small subunit ribosomal RNA", at positions 28 to 506 of the family's 1533-position model. The record is from RNAcentral.
GACGAACGCUGGCGGCGUGCUUAACACAUGCAAGUCGAACGGAAAGGCCCUGCUUUUGUGGGGUGCUCGAGUGGCGAACGGGUGAGUAACACGUGUGUAACCUGCCCUUGACUUUGGGAUAACUUCAGGAAACUCGGGCUAAUACCGGAUAUGAGCUCCUGCUGCAUGGUGGGGGUUGGAAAGUUUCGGCGGUUGGGGCUGGUCUCGCGGCAUAUCAGCUUGAUGGUGGGGUAGUGGCUUUCCAAGGAUUUGACGGGUAGCCGGCCUGAGAGGGUGACAGGCCACAUGGGGACUGAGAUAGGGCCCAGACGCCUACGGGAGGCAGGAGUGGGGAAUAGUGGACAAUGGGCGGAAGCCUGAUGCAGCAACGCCGCGUGCGGGAAGACGGCCUUCGGGUUGUAAAACGCGUUCGCGUGAGACGAAGCGUGAGUGACGGUAAUGGGUAGAGAAGCACCGGCUAACUACGU